UGAAGGAGACUUGGGUACGAGCUGGACGGCGUGUUAGGGAUUUCACUCUCUACACUGGCUCCCUUGGGACAACAUUCUUACUUUUCAAAGCUUAUGAAGUCACCAAGAACAAGAAUGAUCUCAAUCUCUGCAUUGAAAUUGUGAGGGCUUGUGAUACUGCUUCACGAGAAUCAGGACAUGUGACAUUCAUCUGUGGUCGGGCUGGUGUGUGCGCCCUUAGUGUCGUGGCUGCAAAGAACGCUAGGGGAUCAUACACUGUGCAACCACUACCUAUCCCAGUUCAAAGCAGUAAUGCUUUGAAAAGUUGUUGGCUAGAAAGUUAGUAAUGGUUGCCUUCUCGAGCCGAAAAAGAUAUUUAUGCAGUAGUAAACCAUUGUUUCUUUGUUUGGAAUUCUAAAUGCUUAUUGGUUACCCUUGUAACUCGUGUACUAUCCAUUUUUUGUUCCUCGUCAGAUGUACUACCUCAUUUGGAAAUCACUUCUCUUGGGGGUUUCUGGAUUGUGUAUGAAUUGCCACUUCAUAGGGUAUGGUCGUGAAGGAAAUCAUCAAGGAUGGAAUACGAUUAGCCAACAAGGGUAUUUGCCCAUUGAUGUACGUAGCAUUUAUUUCGGUCCAAUAAAGUCAAUUCAUCAGAAUCCUUUGGGUUGUUUUUCUAAAUCUUCAUCUCUGUCUCAUCAAUGCCUCUUCUAUUUAUAUUCCUUUUUUUUAAUUUAAUUUUUCUGUCCUUCCAGUUUCGUCCUUGGUAUUUAUUUAAUUUCUUUUCUAUGGAAUUUUUUUAUGUUGGUUUUCUUUUCUUCUCUUUUCCAUCUUUGGGUCUAUAUUUCUCAAUUUAUCUUAUAUGGAGGCUUUCUCAAACAUAUGUUGAGUUGCUAGAAAUCCAAAACUCAAUGAUGGUGGAAGAGCACGAUGUCUCAUUUGAAGCUCCAAUCCAAAAUGAGUAAGUUGUAGGGCAGUCCACAGAGUGAGUGAGGUUAUGAGAAGCUAUCACCAGACUAUCAUACUAUCAUAUCCAUCUGAUUUAUGGGCUACAUAUAGGUGGUUAUACCAAUGACCCUAUAAAAAUAGAGAUCUGAAAAUACCCAAGAAUUCUUUUAUUCGAGACGGUACUGUUAUUACUCCUUGGUUGUUGUGAUUAAUGACCUUUUUAUAUAUAAUACAUUGUCAAUGAUGAUGAGGAACUGGCGAGGGCCUCACAAGCAUUGUUGUGUGAAAGUAACAUAGUUUUGAAAUAGUGAUCGCUCAGUGGUCAUCAAGGACUGGAUAAAUCUCCAAAGCUUAACAAGGAGUACCAACAAUUUUUUUUUUCUGAUAUAGAUGAUAGAUAUGGACAUCCUACAAUAAUUGGAUCAUUUGGUAAAACUGGAGUACCCAGCUCAGAUGCUUGGAUACUUGUGUAAGGUAUUCGCCACACAGAGACUGGGAAUUCUAAUUCAGUUGGGGUUUUGAACUGUAUCUUCUUUAUAGCUAUUAACAAAUAAUAAUCCUUGGGCAUCAGCUUCAAGAAUGAUUGUCCAGAAGAAUUGGAUGCUAGGAAACAGUUCUAUGGGGCAGCAUCUACACUGCAGAGGUCAUGCACCAAGCUAGCAAAGUCCCCUACUUAUUGGGCCUUGAUUCUCAUGACCUACUACAGCUGGCAAUGCAGAAUUUCUAAGUUUCCCACUUGAGAGUCUUGUGUAUGUUGCCAAAUUGGAUAAAUCACGAGGAACACAUGCAAGACCUAGUCAUCGGAAUCCAUAAGUUAGUCAUGCACCAAGCUAGCAAAGUUCCUUUUUGCUUGUUUAGCUUCAUUUAUGUUUAGAAAACACUGAUGUUUGUUGAAAGUUGAAACAAUUGAUUGAGAUUUUUUAAUACCAUCCGUUGUUUCUUUGAUAAAUGGGCAACAGAUGAAAAAAAAAAAAAAAAAGGUCGGGUCCACAACGCAUAAUAAAGUACACAACAUUGCAAUGUUUUGGAUGCUGGUCUAUGCACUUCCACCUGUUUUGGCUUUGAUACACAUACUCAUGGGCAGUAUAGGUGCAUGCUAGAUGACUUGGAUUAGUUGGACUUGGAUGGUGGAUGUUGCAUGUGGGAGGAUUGGAGCUGCAUAUUUCAGAUUCAAGCAUAUGUUGUUAUCAUAUAUGCAAAAGAAUUCUUCUAUGUUUGGGUGCAUGGCGAUUGGAUCUGAAAAUUUGAUAUUUUCAUUCAUUUAUUUCACGGCUUUCACUCCAAGAGGACUGCAGUGAUAAGAGCAUCCGAUGAUUUUUGGCCAAGAGUCCCAGCGUCACAUACAAUCCAUAUUGCAUCUAUUGCCUACAACACCUUUUUCCUUGGAGAAUUCAUGCAGCCUGUUUGGGAUAUGUUUCAUAGCGUCCACCCGAUGGUUGAAUACCAUGGAGUGGAAAUGUCCCAAGCACAGCAAGCCCUGCUCUGUUAACAAUAUGGGCGAAUGAAACCCAAUCUUGGUCUAAUUGUGGUGCUUAAAGUCUAACUUCCUAAACAAAACAUGCAAAUUAUAACCUGUGAUUUUAGCAUUGCAGGCUGCUGGUAAUGAGAAUGGCAUCACUGCAUUUUAGAUGGAGUUAAAAGUUAAGACAAAUCAAAUUAACAGAACUCAAUUUCUUUAGGAGAUGCUUUGUUUCCUGUGCAUUGGAAUGACAUGUUUUUGAAUUUAGGUUUUUUGUCAUGUUGAUUCAAGUUUUUAUUUUUAUUUUUAUUCAGGUUUUUUGUCAUGUUGAAUGAAGGAUUGUAAUAGAUUCAUUAUUGA
This is a long non-coding RNA of Magnolia sinica, 2743 nucleotides long. RefSeq lists it as uncharacterized. The record is from RefSeq and is a predicted model, not a curated record. The transcript has 7 exons. Lineage: Eukaryota; Viridiplantae; Streptophyta; Magnoliopsida; Magnoliales; Magnoliaceae.